UUCACCUUACUUUUUGUAUCUGUAUCUUUGUCUCUCCCAUUUCUUGCAAAGCACACUGCCUGUGGGCCCGGUUAUAUCGGGGCGUCAAGAACCCCCGGUAUCUCUCCACUAGAAUGGGAGAUCCACAGGGCAAGGAUGGUGGCGUCUGUUUAGCGCUGUAACGGUGUACUAACUAUAGGUAAAUACUUGCAGAAUGAACCAGUGGAUGCAGUCUUGAGUGCCUACUGAAUACAGCGCGACAGGACAGACUAGUCCUUGCCCUCGGUGCCUACUGAAUACAGCGCGACAAGACAGACUAGUCCUUGCCCUCGGGAGUGCGGAGACAGCCAAGGAGGCGUAAAGUGACUGAGAGGACGACAGAAGACUCUCCCACACGACUUUUCUAGGGCGUGGCUCAGAAGCGGGAAGAACAGCGCGGCGCAGGGGCGAAGGUCUUCCACGUCAGCGAGCCUGCACUAGAUUUCAGUGAAUCUCGCAGCUGGAAGGUACCUUCCAGACCUCGGACCCUGCCCUGUCACUUCACAGACAAGGAAAGCCCGGCCCAGCGCGGUUAAAAAAAAAAGAAAAGAAAACCCUCAAAGGACAAAAGUUGAAACUCACUGGCCGGACUAGAAAGCUAUCCUAGGAGAUGUGAAGUGGUUUUGAUUUGCAUUUCCCUAAUUGCUCAAAUGAUUACAGAGGCUGAAAAGUCCCACGAUCUGCUGUCUGCAGGCUGGAGACCCAGGGA
Microcebus murinus (gray mouse lemur) is the source of this 727-nucleotide non-coding RNA. The record is from RefSeq and is a predicted model, not a curated record. Lineage: Eukaryota; Metazoa; Chordata; Mammalia; Primates; Cheirogaleidae.